This 497-nucleotide ribosomal RNA is filed under the name uncultured bacterium. Its description in RNAcentral is "partial 16S ribosomal RNA". It matches the Rfam family "Bacterial small subunit ribosomal RNA", at positions 28 to 507 of the family's 1533-position model. The record is from RNAcentral.
GAUGAACGCUGGCGGCGUGCCUAAUACAUGCAAGUCGAGCGAGCAGACGCGGAGCUUGCUCCUCUGACUAUAGCGGCGGACGGGUGCUUAACACGUGGAUAACCUACCUAUAAGACUGGGAUUACUUCGUGAAACCGCAGCUACUAACGGAUAAUAUAUUGAACCGCAUGGUUCAAUAGUGCAGGACGCUUUUGCCGUCACUUCUAGGUAAAUCCGCACCGAGUUAGCGACGUGGUAAGGUAACGACUUACCAGGGCGACGAUCCGUAGCCGACCAGAGAGGGGGAUCGUACACACUGGAAUGGAGACACGGUCCAGAAUCCGAAGGGAGGCAGCAGUAGGGAAUCUUCCGCAAUGGGCGAAAGCCUGACGGAGCAACGCCGCGUGAGUGAUGAAGGGCUUCGGAUCGUAAAACUUUGUUAUUAGGGAAUAACAAAUGUGUAAUUAACUAUGCACGUCUUGACGGUACCUAAUCAGAAAGCCACGGCUAACUACGUG